Molecule: long non-coding RNA, 18024 nt
Filed under: Ananas comosus (pineapple)
Lineage: Eukaryota; Viridiplantae; Streptophyta; Magnoliopsida; Poales; Bromeliaceae
Description: long non-coding RNA (ACOM_LNC011594)
Source: RNAcentral
AAACUUCAAAUACCACCUCGUAGGGUUUUUAUUUUUACAUUUAGUAAUCAUGUUUAAAGACUGUAUACACUUUAGUACCAAUAGUGGUUUAAUUUUUCUACUUGAUUUGAUCGGCUCCUCAGUUAAUAUUUCGUUAAGAUUUAUAUCAAAAACCUUAGAUAUCAUACCUAGAUUGAAUGAAUAUUCACUUUAUAACUUUUGUUUAACUUUUUCAUGAUUUAUAAAAAAAUUAAUAUAGAGGAGAUAAUAAUAAAGAAAAAUAAACAAUGAUAUAGAAUUAACAUAUUUUAAAUACAGAGUAUUUAAAGUGAGAAAUGCGAAACUACAGGAGUAGUAUUUGAAGUUUUAUUUUUUCUUUUUUUAAGGAAGAAACAAGAAAGACACCACCUCUAAUUGAAAGGACAUGUAAGGGACAUGAUAUUAAUAUUUUCUUUUUGAAAAAUUGAUAUAUUUUGAAUUUAUCUACAAAAUAAUUAGGUGCUGCUUCAUUAGUUAGCUAAUGAAUGCUCAGCUUUGAAAAUGGACCUAAAUCAGUGAAGUUUGGCCCUAAAAUUGAUCCGUAAGGUUUUUGAACCUCAAAACAAGUUUUGCCAAGUUCAAGCUGGUCAAUAAUAGAGUCAAUUUGGAAAAGAGGUUGUUUUCUUCGGGUUUUAACGUUCAAUUUGAGAUUUGGAUUUGAUUGAUUUUGUAAUCUCUAUUGUUCUGCAAAUUCGGGACCCGUAAUCUAUUUGGGCUAUUUCAGGCCAAGCUGAAUUGGCAUGAAUUCAAUUGCUAGGCUAGCUUGGUUGGUUUAUUAGAUGUUGUUUUUCUUUGUGAGAAGAGAAGAGAGGAGAGAGAGUAAAGCUAAAAAUUAUCCUCUUCAUUAUAAUUUGCAUAAAAAAUAGAGUAACUAAAAAUGUAAAAGUAAGUGAUUUUGAAAUUUUGAAAACUUGCAAUACCCGAUCGGAGUAUUUAAUCAAACUGACCAUGGUCAGUAAUGGAAGUAAUUAUUUUUAUUUAGAGCAUUGGUUUCUUCCGUCGUCGAGCAGAAGGCUAGUUGUACUUCGUUGAUCUGUAAGCAUGGGCAAGUCAGAUCAAGCAUAUGAUCUCCUCGUGCCGUUGUGNNNNNNNNNNNNNNNNNNNNNNNNNUUAUUAUAAUAUUAUAUAUAUUAUAAUUAAUUAUAUUUAUAUCUAAAGCGGCUGCUGCACUACUAGGGCCUCACGGGGUCUCCUGUUGUCCUGUGAAGCCCGUUUUCGAUGAGAUUUCGAUCGACGAUCGUGCUAGUUAGAUUGAUUUAGCGCAUUAAAGUUUUCUGCAAAAAUUUUUGCAGAAUUUUUCAGAUAUAUUUCCCUAGUGUAGAAAGGAUGUCAAAUCUUAUUUUUAAUGGUUGAUAUCGUUGCGUUUUCCAGUUUAAUGGUGUUGAAGUAUUCGAAUCAGAUAAUUUGAUAGAAAUUCUUUAUACUAUUCAAAAGAUUUAUUUUCUGAUCGAAAUUUUCGUGUUAUAUCACACAUUUUUUAUAGAUUUUGUAUUUAACGUAAAAAUAUUGAUUUGAAUCCUUUUGAUUGCUAGAGUAAAUGAUAUGAAAAAUCGCCAAAAAUUAUUUCAGACGUUUAAUUGCGAUAGAUACCUUUACGGAAGCAGAAUCAUUCGAUUCGAAACUCUAUCAUCGAACGGAUCAGGGCAGGGAGGCUUCCGUGCUCUCUGAGAGCACAGCAGCGCUAUAUAUAUAAUAUAUAUUAAAAAGCAUCUAUAUAUAUAUAUUAUAUAUAUAUAUUAUAAUUUUAUAUUUCUAUAUUACUAUUAUAUUUAUUAUAGGAUUCAUCUGGUGAGAUAAAGGGCAUCUUAAAUAAGUGAGGAAUUGAUUUUCACGCUAGAAAAGAGUUUUUCAAUGUAUUAGUUCCGCAAGUACCUUUAGUUUCAUAAAGAGUAUAUUUACCUUCUUUAGAAAAUGUAGUGGAUUGAUUUGUCAAAUAUUGUUCGAAGCCAAAACUUGAAGAUCAAUACUAUCUGUUGGCAACACACGCCUGUGUUUCAAACUAUUUUCGUUUUUUCGCAAGGAGAAUUGAAGCGCAAGGUAACCAAAAAAUUUUUUUUUUUUCAUACGAAUAAUACUUUUUCUUCUGAAAACCGUGUCUUGAAUUUUUUACGUAGACAUAUUGUGAGGACGGCAAGUCAAUAACCGGAAAUCACGAUGCUUUAUCAAAGCGGAUAAUAUUGUAAUUUAUUCUAUACAUGAAAUAUAAGAAUAUGUUAGCCAAUGAAUCUAUAUAUUAAUUUAUGUUCAAUCGAUCUUUUUCAUUAAAUGAACUACUAAAUGCAUGUAAGUUAUAUAUAUAAAGGUGUAAAAAGAGGAUAAAUAUGUAAAAAAUGAGAUAUUAUUUUUUCGUUUUGCGUUUUGAUUGAUCUAAGCCGCACCAAUAUAUAUCUAUUGUAGUUAUAAUUGGACCUUAAAUCAUAUAAAUAAUAAUUAUAAAGCUGAUAAUAACCCCAGUUUUUCUAACAAAAUUCACAAAGAUCAGAACAAAUUUAAUUUCAUUUUUAACCACUCUAAACAACAUUCUGAGGGAAUUCACGUGCAUUUCUUUUUGUUUCUAUUUGUGCGAAGUUUCACACGUUGCAAUUUGGUGGACUCUCCACUUGCUUUACAAUUUUGUUUAAAGGUAAUUUGUAAAAAAAAAAAAAAAGAAAAGAAAAGAAAAGAAAAAGAAAAUCCACUUGUGCUUUAAUAUAUAUGCAUCAUCAUUAAUGUGCCUCUCUAUAAGGAUAAAUUUCAAUCCUGCUUUACUAUAUUGUCACAAAAGUUUAAAAUUUUGAAAUGUAUUUACUCGAGUGAAUUCACAUAAAUUAAAUAAAUUGUUCAGUAGCUUAUAACCUAUUUUUGUUGGCUAAAUAUUGACAAAUUAUUAAUAUAAGUUCAAUGUGAGAGUAUUGUAAUUAAUGAUGCAAUGAUAAUUAAGAUGCUGCAUCACUUUUAAAUCAACCAUACGUCAAUAUUUAGUCAGUUAAAUUAGGUUAUAGAAACUUGAUUGUAAUAAUUCUAAAGUUCGAAUUAAAAAUUAUAAUAAAUUAAGGUUUAAGAACCAAAAUAUUACCCGCCUCAUAGUUUUAAGGACCGGACAUGCAAUUUACCCUUUAUGUAAUUUUAGUCAGGAAGGGAAAAGAUAAAAUUAUUGCUUCUUUGGGAAUUCCACUUACUUGACCUUUUUUUUUCUUUUUUUUUUUUCCUUUUUGGUUGCUUAUUGCGUGUGGUGCUGAAUCUUUGUGAAGUGCUUUAUUAAUUCCUUGUUUGGUUUUUCCUUCUCCAGUAAGACAUUUUGUUAGUGUUUAUUUUUAGAAGUGAAUAUGAUACUAUUUUUCCUUGUUUGUUAAUUAUUAAUUCCUUGUUUAUUUUGUUAGUGUGGUGACUCCCCUAGGCUUUGGUACGUAGAUGAUUGACUCCUACUUUUCGCUACAGUUUAUUUUAAUAUAAUAUUCAUAAAUAAUAAAAUCAAAAAAGAAAGUUUUUAAGAGAAGGCCGAAAAUAAAAUUUUAGGUUUCAAAAACAAAAAUAACUCAGAAAGGCUUUUACGCAACCUUUAGGCCAUGCUUAUCUCAUAUUUAUAUUGCCUACCAUCCAAUUAAUAUAUUAUAGCUUGUUUGCGUGCUAAUGUAUGUGAUACGAAGAGUUUUGAUUGAUUCAUGCACGUAAUAGAAGGCAUCGGACAGAUUAAUUAAUAUGGCGAAUCAAUAAGAGAUUUUUUUGUAAGGAACGUUCACUAUUCUUCAAAUUUUAAAUAAAAAGUAUUCUCUUUCACUAGAUCAUAGAGAUUGAAUGAGUACUCUUUAAAUGAGCAAAUAGGUCUUUUUUUGCAUUUAGAUCCCUGGCAAAUUUUUAUUUUAAAAAUAGCCUUGUCAAAAUUUAAUUUGCAAAAAUGGCCCUACCCCUACCACGCANNNNNNNNNNNNNNNNNNNNNNNNNNNNNNNNNNNNNNNNNNNNNNNNNNNNNNNNNNNNNNNNNNNNNNNNNNNNNNNNNNNNNNNNNNNNNNNNNNNNNNNNNNNNNNNNNNNNNNNNNNNNNNNNNNNNNNNNNNNNNNNNNNNNNNNNNNNNNNNNNNNNNNNNNNNNNNNNNNNNNNNNNNNNNNNNNNNNNNNNNNNNNNNNNNNNNNNNNNNNNNNNNNNNNNNNNNNNNNNNNNNNNNNNNNNNNNNNNNNNNNNNNNNNNNNNNNNNNNNNNNNNNNNNNNNNNNNNNNNNNNNNNNNNNNNNNNNNNNNNNNNNNNNNNNNNNNNNNNNNNNNNNNNNNNNNAGAAGCCGGACCCUAUAUAUAUAUAUAUAUAUAUAUAUAUAUAAUUUAUUCGGGUUUGGAUUCAGAUAAUAUUUCGGAUAUCCAUACUUUUUGAUAUCCCUACUCUUUAUUCCACUUUUCAAUAUACAAAAAAUACGUAUUAAACACGGUGAACCAUUCACCGUGUUUAGAUACGGUGAAUGAUUCACCGUAUUCAACUUAAUGUCCUGGCCCCAGCCCUGCCCGCGUGGCGCUGACGUGGCGCCUGCGUGGCAGGGACAGGGCCGUUUUUGCAAUUUUAAUUUUGAUAGAGCUAUUUUUAAAAUAAAAAUUACUCAUGGGGCUAUUUGCAAAAAAAACCCGAGCAAAUAUUAUGUAUUGAUCGUUAAAAUUAUAAAUUUUCUGAUCCGUUGAUAUUAGUUCAAUGAUAUCAAAAAAGAUAUAAAUUUUGUUUCUAAAACAGACCGUGAUUUGGAAUCUCUAUCAUCGAAAACAGAUCAAAAAUUCAUUUACUAUCAAUUGAAGCCAAACUCUCUCUUUAUGUAUAUAAAAUAAUAAUAAUAAUAAUAUAAUAAUAAUAAUAUCUCUCUAAAGAGAGAGAGUGAGAGUGAGCCCACUUAAUUACUAUGUUAUUAAUAGGACAACUUCUUUUUGUCUGUCAAGUCAUUUUCGAUGAUUAAGAGUCCGAAUCAGUGGGCGGUUAGUAUAGUCAAACAUGAUCUAAAACAUAUAAAGUGUCUCAAAAUUAAAUUUCAUGAUUUUUAAAAGUCAUUAUCUAGUUCAUCAAAAAAAUUAUAAAAUAAAUAGUAAAAAAUGAAUAAAGUUAUGCAAUAGAGGUUAGAACUUCUCAAUACAAAAUCGGUAUGGUCAUGAUCAGACAGUGAAAAAAACUUUCUAUAAAAAAUUUAAUAAAUUUAAAUUAUUUUACACUAUUAAACGAGCAAAUAAUUUAUAUGUCGGUUCGAGCUCUUAAUCAUUAAAAACGACUUGACAGAAUAGGGUGCUUUGUCUUUGUCUAAUUAAUGAGAUAAUAACUAAUCAGUAGGACAGUAACUAGAAUCUACAUAGAACCCAAUUACAUUUUUGUAGUGGGACUAGCAUAGGCAUGCAUACAGGCAUUCCAUUUUAUUUUGGGAAAACUUUAAAAAUUCUCCAUAUGGUUUCAAACUUUUUCAUUUUAGGUACUCUACUAUAGUUUAAAAUAUAUCAAGUUAGUACCAUAUGGUUUCACACUUUCUCACUUUAGUAUCCUAUGGUUUAAAGUGUAUCAAGUUAGUACUGUGUGAUUUUAUUUUUGUAUCAAGUUAAUACCGUGUGAUUUUAUUUUUAUAUCAAGUUAGUAUCCUGUGGUUUAAACCACAUGGGUACUAAAGUGAGAAAGUACAAAACAUAGGGUACUAAAGUGAGAAAGUACGAAACCACAGGGUACUAACUUGAUACACUUUAAACCACAGAAUACUAAAGUGAAAAAGUGUAAAACCACAGGGUAUUAAUUUGAUAUACUUUAAACCACAAGAUACUAAUGUGAGAAAGAGUAAAACCACAUGGGGCUAUUUGAAGUUUUCCCUUUUAUUUUUGCAGUGGGAAUAGUAUUACUCAGAUUAAUAAAAGAUUAAAUUAAUUGGAUAGGGACAACAUAUAUUUGGUAUGCAAAUUUUGUUGCAUAUUGACAAGUGGCUACAUAAUGUAGUUCCCAACAAGGGAAGUUAAUCUAUAAAUAUAAUUUUUUAUCUAUGGUAGUUAAUUGUGGUCAAUUGUUUGUGAAAGAAGUUUAUCUUUAAAAGGUUAUGCUAUUAAAAAAUAGUGUUUUAAUAUAAUAUUUUUUUAGUAAUCUUUUUCUUUAUGUCCGGAUUUGAUUUUUUUUUUUGAUAACUAGGCUCAAGACGUAGAUUUAAAUUAAAUAUAUAAAAGAGAAUUAUAUAAGGGGUUAUGUAUUUGCAUAUAACUACAGCUACAAUACUCUAGUUGUAACUAUAUACAAAUUCAAAUCCGGUGUCUGCUUUGAUGUUGUGACGCCCUAACUUCCCAGGGGGUCACCUAUCCUAGGACUACUCCCGUCCUAGCACGCUUAACUCUUUUAACCUCUUGGGCCUUGCCACCAUCCAAAAUGCUUAAGCCGGGUUAAGAGUUUAGCCCUAUUAUAUCUUAUUAUAUAGGACUAUUCAGGGUUUCACAAUCUCCCAUCCUUUAAGCCCUAACGUUCUCGUCAGGCUCAGACUCACAAGUACCAGGCGAUGUGAGACUUAUCUCGUUAGCCCUUCAUCCAGUCCCUGGUUCAGUCGAGACUCAUCUCACACUUUCGGCCGGUAAUUGGCUCUGAUACCAUCUGUGACGCCCCAACUUCCUAGGGGGUCAUCCAUCCUAGGACUAUUCCCGUCCUAGCACGCUUAACUCUCUUAACCUCUUGGGUCUUGCCACCACCCAAAAUGCUUAAGUAGGGUUAAGAGUUUAGCCCUAUUAUAUCUUAUAUAUAGGACUAUCCAGGGUCUCACAGAUGUAUUUAAAUUCAACUGUUGUAUUUGGAAUUAUGCGUAAAUUGAUCGUAGUUUCAACUAUAGCAACUUUAAAUAAAAGAUAAGCUUACUAUCGUAAUUAUUUUUAAAAUUGUAAAUACUUUUUUUUUUUUUUUCUACAUUGCAGGUAAUCGCACCACCACUCAUACAAGUGAUAAAAUUUUACAAAUUUAUUUUCUAACUACAUGUAUACAACAAAAUAAAUUUUUUGAUAGUUGCAGUAAUUUCUAUCGCUUCCGACCGAACAAGAUAUGUAUAGCUGCAAAUAUUGCAUCUCUAAAGCAUUACGUGGAACCAAACAGCCCCGUGAGUAGGAGCACGGUAGGAUUGAGCUGUUAGACAAUGAUAUUUUAAUAUAAUAUUAUAUAUUUAAUAUUUAUCGUAUCAAAAAUAAAUGGCUUACAUGUCUCGCCUUAUAAACCACUCAAAUAUUGAAAAUGUCAAAGUAUAAUAAGCCCCAGCCUGGUUGUAGUCUCUUCAGUUGAUUACCAGUCGUCCCUUGACUUGGAAUUCAUUUUAAAUUUAUACUAUUCUAAUUCGAGAAGUCACGGACUCGACCCUAUUUUCAGGCACUGCAGAAAAAUCAAAACUGCACCUUCAAAAUAGAUACUUAAUUAAUUAGAUCUGUGUGAGACUCCAGAUAAUCCUAUAUAUAAGAUAUAAUAGCUAGGGCUAAACUCUUAACUCGGCUUAAGCAUUUUGGGUAGUGGCUAGACCUAAGAGGUUAAGAGAGUUAAGCGUGUUAGGACCGGAGUAGUCCUAGGAUGAAUAACCCCCUGGGAAGUCGGGGCGUCACAGAUGAUAUCGGAGCCAAUUACCAACCGGAAGUGUGAGAUGAGUCUCGACUGAGCCAGAGUCUGGAUGACGGGCUAGCGAGACGAGUCUCACAUCGCCUGGUACUUGUGAGUCUGAGCCUGACGAGAACGUCAAGGCUUAAAGGAGGGAAGAUUGUGAGACCCCAGAUAGUCCUAUAUAUAAGAUAUAAUAGGGCUAAACUCUUAACCCGGCUUAAGCAUUUUGGGUGGUGGCUAGACCCAAGAGGUUUAGAGAGUUAAGCGUGCUAGGACGGGAGUAGUCCUAGGAUGGGUGACCCCCUAGGAAGUCGGGGCGUCACAUCUGAACCACCAGUAUAAAAAUAAAAAAUAAAAAGUUUUAGGAAAAACUUAACUUACCAUUGUAAGUACAAUGAAAACUUUGGUUAAAUGUCUUACGUGGUAAUUAAACACAAAUCAUCAGAAUUUAGGCUUGUGUUAUAUGUGUACAUGUACUAAUAUACACUUUGCAUAAAUAGCUCAUAUAUAUAUAUAUACCUUGUUGUUCUUAUAAUAAAAAAAAAAUUAAAUUACAGAAAAUUUUCUUGUAAAUAUUUAUUGUUUUUGUUUUUUCUCUCUAACUUUAAUUCAAAAAUCUAUAUUUUAUAUUUUUAAUAUUUCAAAUUAUUGCAUUUAGUCCACCUCCAGUAGGAUUUCAUCACAAUUCCUUCCAUCACUAUUCUUUUUAUUUUUAUAAUUUAUAUCGAAAAAUACGCUUCAAAAUAACAAAAAUAUAAUAAAAAAUAUUUUUUCUUAUAGAAAAAGUAAGAAUAAUUUAAUUGCUCAUUUUGCUCUCUCUAUUAAUGCCGUACCCUCCUAAAAAUAUUUCAAAAAUUUUCAGUAGGAAUCGACUAUCUCUAGAGCACGUGACGAAGGGUUUGGUGGUUGGGACAUGAGGUCCCAAGUUCGAAAUUAGUUGAUUCAUUUUUCCAGCUAAGUUUAUUUCUAAAUGAAAUAAACGAAGAGGGUAGCGUGCUAUCUAUCCCUAAAAAAAAAAAAUUUGAAUAGAAAAAAUUUUAGAUUUUUAAACAUAAAAAAAUAAAAAAUAAAUAUUUACAUAAUUUUUUUUUGUAAUUUAGUCUAAUUAUAAAAAUACAUUUGUGUGUAAAGUUCACGCGUCAUUCCGGGCUAAAUGUAUUAUUUUUUUAUUUUUUUUUUUUGAGAGAAAAAUGUAUUAUUUUUUUAAGUACAUUAUUAUUGGGUUUAUUUUCUAUUAGUCUCUUGUUGACUUUUGAAUCCUUGUGAUGUAGACAUUAAUUUGUAACACUAGCUAGGGUACAACAUUAAUUAAUGCAUACAAUGAUGUAUUAAACUAAUAAAUGAGUCAUUGCUUGGUUCACCUAUUCUACAGAUCAUAGUGCUUAGCACAAUAAAAUAAUCCUUUUGAUAUAGGUUCUUUUUUUUUUAAAAAAAAAAGAUUUUCUACCUAAUAAAAUCCAUAAAUACUUUGAUAAACUAUUAAUAUGUGUGUGUGUAGGUUUCUCAUUGACUGAAGCUUAGCCCAUGACUAAUUAAAUUGCUAAUAUUAAUCACACUUGGAUUGCAAUUAACAAUAAUAAUAAAGCUUACAUUUUUAUUAAUGUAGCUAAAAUUACUCUUAGGUAAGCAUUUAAGGGUGAGUUGAAAAGGUGUACAACUGCUCUUUAAUGAAACCUCGUCUAAAUAUGUUAAUAUAAAAGUUCAGAAUACUAUUAAAAGUGAAUUAAUAUUAUUUAUUAUCUAUGUAUCACGGACACUUUUUUAAGCCUCGCGUGUCCGUAUCGGACUCGCGCAUAUCCAUGUCGGACUCGCGCGUGUCCGUGUUAGACACGUAUCUGAUAUGGACACUUCUUGGACGCUCAUUUAAUGCCGAUCCAUAGCGUAUACAACUAAAAAAUAUAUAUCUAUUUUUAUUUUACUUUUUUUAUACAUAUGUAAUGUAAGAUGAUAAAUAUUUUAGUUUUUUAAAGAAUGUAUAUAAUUUCUUUUUGACAAUAUAAACAAAUUAUGUAUGGUGGAAAAUUUCUUUUCUUAAAAUAUAUGAACUAUCAAUAAAAUUUUACUAACUUUUAUUCGUACGAUAAAUAUAAUAAUAUUUUAUCAAAAUUAAUAUUUUAUACAUAAUAAAAAUAUAUUAUUAUAUUAAUAAUAUUAUAUUUUAUUAGUAGUGUCCAUGUUGUAUCCGUGUUCUAAUUUUUUGAAAAUUGCUGAGUCACGGUGUUCGAGUCGUGUCCCGUGUCAGUGUCCGUGAUGCUUAGUUUAUUAUUAAACUUUUAGUCUUUAAAUUUUUAAUAGAGUCAUCACCAAAUAGUAAAUUUUAGGCAUCUAAAGAGAGAGAACUAGCUAUUACAGGGAUAGAUAUAAGUAUGGGGAUAAGAAAAAUAGUGUUUGGAUGAAAAUUAGGUUGUUCCCGGGAAUAAGAAUAAUUUUAGAUAGUUUUAUAUAGAAAAUAGAGGUGUUGGUGGGAAUAACCGAGAACUACUAUUCUCGGAUAAAAAAUUAGCGUUUGGGUAUAAAGGAGGGAUAAGGGCCUAUUCCUAUCCCUAUCCCCUAACCAAACGCAAUAAGAAAUAAAUAGCAAAUUCUAUUCUUCUAUUAUUAGUAGUAUUCUUAAUCCGGCUACAUUAAUACAAAUCGGAAGAAAAAUUAUAUUAAAACACGCCAAACAUGUAUUUUACGUAGAUUGCGGAGGAGUAUCAAAUUAAAAUUCUAUGUUUGAGGCUCAAAUUUUUUUGUCCUUUUAAAGGUGUCCUAGGAAAAAGCUACAUGUACAUUUAUAUAUACAUAUAAGUGUAAAUAUUGCAUCUCUCUAAUCUUAGAAUUUACAAAUUUUUUAAAAGUUUUUUUUAAUAUUAUAAAAAAGUUAAUAAAACUUGUAAAAUAAAUUAUAAUCUUUGGAUUAGUACGUAAGAUACAAAAUUCAGGUACAACAUCUCAUAUGCCCUUCAAAAGUUCAAAAAAAUCUCUAAUUUUCUAGAAUUUACAAAUGAGAUUAGAUUUUAGAAUAAUAUUUUUGGCAAUUUAAGGAUAAAUUUAAAUUUUUAAUAAUAAUAAGAAAUAAAUAAGUAAAAGUUUCUAAAAUUUAUAUCUAAUUUACAAGUGUACAGAUAGUACUGCUCAUUACGCGGACAAAUUCAUUCACAUUUACAUUCAAAAAAAAAAACAAACAAAUUCAUUCACACAUUACAGGAUAAGAGUUUGCUAAGAAUAAUUGUAGAAAUUUCGAACUAGCUUGAAUUCACACAUUACAGGAUAAGAGUUUUUUUUUUCUUUUGUGUUUUUGAAAAAGGUGCAUGCAUGGUUUCUAGAAGUAGUGGGAUAUAUGAUAACUUAUCACUUAUCCGAUACCUUGGAUUUAUAUCCAAGUAUAAUUCGCAAUAUUACCCAAUUUUUUUUAAAAAAAAUUGUGAGUAAUAAAACAUCUUAGCUUUGAAUAAUUGGAACUUGUGUACAAACUCCCCACUCAAUCAAUAAAUAACAAAAAAAAAGAAAGAAAAAUUAAGCACUCAUAUAAGUUCUCCACACCACAUAUUAAUCAGCAGGGUCUCCCAAGUCAAAAAAGAUCAAUAAAUAAAUAAAUAAAUAAAAAAUAAAACCCUUUUCUCACCUCCCUAAAUUUCCACCUUUAACCAAAAGCACCAAAACUCACAUACUAGUCAAUGCACACCCCAUACAUAGUUCACACUUCACACUCACUUUUAACUCUCCAAAUUAAGAGGAAUAAAUUAUUGCAUGGACCACGCUCUAUAGACCGAGACAAUUUAUUAUUAUUCAUAUAAUUUGCGUAACUAAUCUCCCACCUAUAAGAUACUACAAAAUAUGUAAACAAGUAUAGCGCUACUCUUAUCUGAACUAUUUAGAGAAUAUAAAUUAGAAUUAAUUUCAUACAUAUUCCUGCAAAUAUAAUAAAUAAUUUCAUAUAAUAUUUUUACAAAAGUCAUAAUAUUUUCAAAUGCCUUUUAAUUUGUUACCGUUAGAGAACCGUUUAUAUUUUUAAUUUUACUAUUACAAAUAUAUCUCUCCAUAAGGCAUACUAGUAUAAUAAUAAUAUAAACAGGUAAAAAUAUCAAAAACUAACUAGAGCUAAGUAUUUAACCUAUGGUUAACUAAUUUCUAACGGAUUCUAACGGUAGGGAUAUAUUUGAAAAUAUCAGGAUUUUAGUAGGGACAACAUACGAAAGUUGAACUUUGUAGGGAUAUAUUUGCUAUUCACUAUGUUACGAAAGUUGAAUUUUGUAAGGAUAUAUUUAACAUUAUGUUUGUAGAAAUAUGUAUAAAAUUAACUAUAUAAAUUAUAACUUCUUUAGAAGGCCCCAGACUAUAGACCGGGUGUAUGCGAUGACUCAUUUCCCAUGUGUGAGCCCGAUCUCUCUAGGGAUGCAAAUGGAUCCGGGUUGGUGGAGCUCCGCCCCGAUCCGCCCCGAAUGGGGUGGUAAGUGGGAACAAAAAAUAUAAAAAAAUAUAACCCGCCCCGAAUCCGCCCCGAUCCGCCAAGUAAAUGGAGCGGGAGGUGGGAGACUCUUUUCUUCCUUCAAUCCGCCCCGAUCCGUCAAAAAUCCGGCUCCCGCCCGAUCCGCCCCGAAUGGAGCGGUAAGUGGGAGCCAAAAAUAAAAUAAAAAGUAACCCGCCCUGGAUUCGCCCCGCCCCGAUAAGAAAUGGAGCGGGAGGUGGGGGAACUCUCCCGCCCCCGGAUCCGCCCCGUUUGCAUCCCUAGAUCUCUCCAUUAGUCGACAGUCGACACGCACACUUUUACUUUGAGACUUUUCUCCAUUCCAAACCAAUAACAACUCCUCGUUCUUACUCCCCCACACUACUUAAACAUACAUAGUUGUAGCAUCUCCCCUCCCACUGCUCUGCUGCUGCUGCUGCUGCUGCUGCGCCUUCUGAUUCUGAAUAAAAAAAAAUUUGAAUUUGAAUUUGAAUUUGAAUUUGAAUUUGAAUUUAAAGAAUUAAAGAAAGAUGGUGUUUGCGGGAGAAGGCGGCGGCGGCAGCAGCAGCGGCGGUAGGAGGAUGGCGUUUUGGUGGGGGUUCGCGGUGGGGGUGGUGCGGGGGCGGUGGUUCAUGGUGUUCGCGUCGCUGCUGAUCAUGGCGGCGUCGGGGGCGACGUACAUAUUCGGGAUAUACUCCAAGGACCUGAAGGCGGCGCUCGGCUACGACCAGCAGACGCUGAACACGCUGAGCUUCUUCAAGGACGUGGGGGCCAACGUCGGCGUGCUGUCCGGCCUCAUCAACGAGGUCACGCCGCCGUGGGUCGUGCUCGCCAUCGGCGCCGGCAUGAACCUCUUCGGCUACCUCAUGAUCUACCUCGCCAUCACCGGCCGCACCGCCCCGCCCAGCGUCGCCCUCAUGUGCUUCUACAUCUUCAUCGGCGCCAACUCGCAGGUGCCUGACAUUUAUAUAUAUAUAUAGGAUGAUUUUCUGUGCAGUUCAUUCGCUUACGCAGUUAGAAGCUAAAAGAGUAGUAUAGAUAGAGACUCCAUCUCCCUCUUGUUGUUUAGUUUUUUUUCUUUUUUUGAAAUAAAUAGGACCUAACCAAUUUUUCAUUUGUUAAUUUUAUGAUUUUAAUUGUUGAAAUUGUAUCAAGCAGCCUUAAUAAUUUAAGUUAUUGCAGUUUUAUUAAAAUAUUUUUUUUCCUUUUAUUUUACUAUUUAUGUAUACUUUGCAAAAGUAUAUAUAUAUAUAUAUGUAUAGGAUUGAUUUUUUAAAUUAGAAAUUGAAAUAUGAGAUGAGAUAGAAAAAUUAUUGAGCUGGUAUGUAUGUAUGUAUGCAUGCAGGCGUUCGCUAACACGGGGGCGCUGGUGACGUGCGUGAAGAACUUCCCGGAGAGCCGCGGCGUGGUGCUCGGCCUCCUGAAGGGCUUCGUCGGGCUCAGCGGCGCCAUCUUCACGCAGCUGUACUACGCCAUCUACGGUGGCGAGGACUCCAAGUCCCUCGUCCUCCUCAUCGCCUGGCUCCCGGCCGUCAUCUCCAUCCUCUUCGUCCACACCAUCCGCAUCAUCCCCUACCCGCGCGGCCGCCAUGCCGCCGAGACCACCUCCCCCUUCUACUGCUUCCUCUACAUCUCCAUCGCCCUCGCCACCUACCUCAUGGUCGUCAUCGUCGUCGAGAACCAGGUCGCGUUCUCGCACGCCGAGUACAGCGUCGGCGCCGCCGUCCUCGUCGUCCUCCUCUUCCUCCCCCUCGCCGUCGUCGUAAAGCAGGAGGUCAGGAGCUCCAAGCAAGAAGACGGCGUCGAUCGUUCAUCCUCCUCUAAUCCUCCGAACGGUCCCCCGCUGACCAGCAUCGCGAUCGUCGAGAAGACGUCUGCGGAGGAGGAGGAGGAGCCACGAAAGCGGUCGUGCGUCACGAACAUGUUCAGCCCUCCGGCGAGGGGCGACGACUACUCGAUCCUGCAGGCACUGGUGAGCGUGGACAUGAUCGUGCUGUUCGUGGCGACGAUAUGCGGGGUGGGCGGCACGCUGACGGCGAUCGACAACAUGGGCCAGAUCGGGCAGUCGCUCGGCUACCCGACGAGGAGCAUCAACACCUUCGUCUCGCUGGUGAGCAUCUGGAACUACGCGGGCCGCGUCGCCGCCGGGUUCGCGUCCGAGUUCCUCCUCGCCAAGUACAAGUUCCCGCGCCCGCUCGUGCUCACCUUCGUGCUCCUGCUCGCCUGCGUCGGCCACCUCCUCAUCGCCUUCGGCGUGCCGCAGUCGCUCUACGCCGCCUCCAUCAUCAUCGGCUUCUGCUUCGGCGCGCAGUGGCCGCUGCUCUUCGCCAUCAUCUCGGAGGUGUUCGGCCUCAAAUACUACUCGACGCUCUACAACUUCGGCUCCGUCGCGAGCCCGAUCGGGUCGUACAUACUCAACGUGAGGAUCACCGGGCACUUGUACGACCGCGAGGCCGCGAAGGAGAGCGACGGGCUCGCCGGAGUGGUCGGCAAGGACACGACGUGCAUGGGAGUGCACUGCUUCAAGCUCUCGUUCAUUAUAAUAAGCGCCGUGACCGUGGUGGGGGCCUUGGUCUCGUUGAUACUGGUGUGGAGGACAAGGAAGUUUUAUAAGAGGGAUAUAUAUGCUAAAUUCAGAGACUCUCCUCCUACUGUGGAUAUUGUGGAGAAUAAUAGUAAUAGCAAUGGGGUGGUGGGGGAGAGUGUUAAUGGAGUGGAGGAGAAGUGUGUUGCAGAGAAUAAUGGAGUGAAUGGGGUGAGGUUAAUAAGAGAAUAGGUUUGUUUGUUUUUAAUUUCAAAAAAGAAGAGAUUUGUAAUUGUAUAAGCUAGCCAAAAAACUCAUAUUUAUUUAGUGUGUGAAAGAUGAUAUAUAAAAGAAUAUUUCGAGCUUCUUUUUCAUUAAACACACUUUUAUCUAGGAGAAAUAUAAUAAUAUGCAUUAAGUUCAUACUCCUUCAAAUAUUGUUAAGAGUUCAAAUAUAUUAUAUAAUUUAUAAAAGAGAAAAAAAUAAUUUAUAUUGCGUUCCAUACAGCUAAUAAGAUGCUUUUAGAUUUAAUAAAUUUUAUUAGAUAUGUUAUAUAUAUUUUUGGAGUCGAUUUAAGCCGACCUAGGCCAAAAACUUUCGAACAAUUAGUAAUACCGGAGUCUAGACUCAGGUGCUUAGUGCAUUCAAAAACAAAAUUGGAAUUUAAAUAGGAUUUUGUGCUCACAUGGAGAGUGACUUUUCAAACAAAAAAAAUUCUGAAUUUGGACUCAUAGUGAAGUUGAUAGAGACAUUGCAACAAUAAUCUUCAAUUCAUUAUUUUUGGGGGGUUAUAGAUUAAUUUACAAGCAAUUGAGUCAAUAUGAAUCUCUUUAGUGAUAGAGGACUAGGGGUGGAAACGAGCCGAGCUCGAGCGAGCUUAUGUCAGCUCAAAUUCGGCUUGAAAUUAAUUUCGAGCCUAAAUCUAGGCUCAUUUAAUUCGAGCGAGCUCGAGCGAGCCUAAUUUUUGAGUCGAGCCGAGCUCGAGCUCUAAACGAGCGAUUGAAAUUCUCGACAUUAUAUAAUCAAUGGUUUAAUUUAUAUAGAACAUUACUUAUAAUUUGAUGCAAUAUGUCCAAUAGUUCAAAAUACAAAAAUUACAAAGAAAUGUGAGCUUAGGGUGACUGCCUGACUGGGGUGAGGGCCUGAGAGAGAGAGAGAAAAUGAGACGAGAGAGAGAGAUGGGGGGGGGGGGGGGAAUUAGGAAUUUGAAAAUUUGAAUGUUAUAUAUUUUUAGUGUUAUGUGCAAUAGUGAAAAUCUGAAAGAGAGAGUGUGUUAUAUAAAUUUUAGAAUUGGCUCAAUUGCACGGUUGUACUUAUUGGGUUUAUUUUAUGGGCCAACAAUAAUGGCCUAAAUUAAAUUAAAGCCUAUAUAUAAUAAAAUACAUUAUAUAUAUAUAUAUAUAUAUAUCGAGCUUUUCGAGCUUUUCGAGCCUAAUUCGAACGAGCCGAGUAAUACUCAAGCUCGGCUCAUUUAAUUUCGAGUCGAGCUCGAGCGAGCUGAAUAUCGAGCCGAACACGAGUCGAACGCGAGCCGGCUCGCUCGUUUGCCAGCCCUAAUAGAGACAUUGCAUUUAUUCAAUAUUUUCAUUUGGAUUAAUUGAUUUUUCUCCUACUAUAAAAGUUACUGAUUAGGCAAUAGUAUUACAAAUACAACACUGAACUGAGUUCAGCUACUAUAUAUCCGUUUAGAAAAACGAAAACUUUCGUCCUGUUAAGUCGUUUUAGAUGAUAUGAAUUUCGGAUCUAUGAUCGGAACCGUUAAACUUGAUUUAGAGUAUUUAUAACGUCUAGAAAUAAAAUUUUAUAAAAUUUGAAAUUCGUUAUCAAGUUCAUUGAAGAGUCGAAAAGGAAUAACCUUGUGAAAAUAGAUGUUAGACUUUUUUAAUUUAUGAUCGGGAUUAUCAAACGUUAUCUAAAUAGUAUAAAAAAUUUUGUAUCAAAAAUUCAAAUUGUUUGGAUUGUUUUAUAUCGUUAAAUAAGGAAACAACUCAUAUAGACCGUCAAAAACUGUUGAUUUUGUGAUUCUUUGAUACUACAUAAAUAAUUUUUAAAAUUUUUAAAAUUUAGUUUCUAAACAUUUUAAAUACUCUAGAUCAAUUUUAACUGUUACGUUCAUCGAUUCGAAAUUUAUGUUAUCUAAAACGACUUAGAAGAUUGAAGACCCCCAUCAUUCUAAAAGGAUAGUAGCUGAAUUCCACAUAAUCCUAGAUUAAGGAUUCUCUUCUUUUUUUUCAGUAUAAAAGGAAGCCAUUUUCAUUGUAAUAAACAAAAGAUAAUUUUAAUAUUGACAGAUAAAAAUUUCAAAUAUGAUUUGUUGGAAGCAUGAUUUUCACCGAAACCAAUUAUUAGAAUCGGUAUUUGUGCUGAUACCGAUUAUGUAACACGUGACCUAAAAUAGAACAAAAUAUAAUAUGAAGAAGAGAUAUUGGAUUAGAAAGAUAACUAAACUAAUACUUUAUUAAUUAAAAAAAUUUAAUUAUACCCUAGAGACAGUGCACUUAUGCAACCACAUUUACUAGCACUUGUUACUCUAAUUAACCAAUGCCUAACAAUAUAUUAUAAAGUCAUACCAGAUGAUAAAUCCAAUUUUUAUUUUGAAUAAUUAUAAAAUAUAAUUUGAAUAAACUUUAUUUCUAAUUCAAUUUUAGAUUAAGUUUGGAUUAUUAUUUUGCAACAUGAAUGUUAUUUAUUGAUUGAAUUCGGUAAAGAUGACCCCUCGAAAUAGCAGAUUUAAUGUAUGUUAUAUAUAUACAUCUGCAUCCUAGUGAAUCUACAUAAGUAAGGCUUAGUUUGGUAUUGAGGUCUAUCUAACGCUAAUAGAUAAAAUGGAGUUGUGGAAAAAGCAUAUAGAAAUAUGUUUAUGCGUUAUACGGUAGAACCGCAGAAAAUAUAUUGUAACCGACUCAUCGAUAUGCGGAGCGCAAUAUUACAUACAGAAACAAACAGGAUAUUUUUUCAACGUACUUUCUCACCGCACGUAACGCAAUCUCCCCGCAAUCCCAAACGAAGCCUAAAUAAAUUUAUAAUAUUCCAGUAAUUAAUCACAUAACUUAUGGAAGUGUGGACAAGUAUCCCAAUUGAUAGAAGCAUUCAACCGAAAUUGUUGUCUAAACUCUACUAUUGUAUUUUUUUUUGGGUAAACUUCAAAUACCACCCUCAUGGUUUCCUACUUUUUUACUUUAGUAUCCUAUAGUUUAAAGUGUAUCAAUUUAGUACCCUGUGGUUUAAUUUUUCUCUUUUUGUCGGCUCCUCCGUUAAUAUUUCGUUAAAUUAUAUACAAAAAACCUUCAGAUAUCCUACCUAGAUUUAUCGAAUAUUCACUUUAGUACCUUUUAGUUUUAACUUUGUCACUGAUUUAAUAAAAAAAAUUAAUAGAGGAGAUAAUAAAAAAAGAAAAAUAAAACAACAUGAUACUAAAUUAACAUAUUUUAAAAUACAGAGUAUUAAAGUGAGAAAUGCGAAACUACAGGAGUAGUAUUUGAAGUUUUUAUUUUUUCUUUUUUUAAGGAGAAACAAAGAAG